AAGCCCAAAAUCACAUCUAUGCCUGAGGUUCUCAUAACCAUGGGACUAACCGGGAAAUCUACCCCCUUAAAGAAAGACUUGCUGAGGGGCAACAAUAUGAAACUGGUAUAGUCCCUCCCGGUGAGUUUACUAGCAUAUGGGUUUUCAUGGCAACUAGUGGAAUGCUAUGAACUCUAACAAAUUCUUGUGAUAUGAAUGUAUGCGAAGCUCCAGAAUCAAAUAAAACUGUAGC
This 232-nucleotide long non-coding RNA is filed under the name Sorghum bicolor (sorghum). RNAcentral describes it as "long non-coding RNA (SBIC_LNC005096)". The record is from RNAcentral. Lineage: Eukaryota; Viridiplantae; Streptophyta; Magnoliopsida; Poales; Poaceae.